AUUGAACGCUGGCGGCAUGCCUUACACAUGCAAGUCGAACGGCAGCACGGGAGCAAUCCUGGUGGCGAGUGGCGAACGGGUGAGUAAUAUAUCGGAACGUGCCCGGUCGUGGGGAUAACGUAGCGAAAGCUACGCUAAUACCGCAUACGAUCUACGGAUGAAAGCGGGGGGAUCGCAAGACCUCGCGCGAUUGGAGCGGCCGAUAUCAGAUUAGGUAGUUGGUGAGGUAAAGGCUCACCAAGCCGACGAUCUGUAGCUGGUCUGAGAGGACGACCAGCCACACUGGGACUGAGACACGGCCCAGACUCCUACGGGAGGCAGCAGUGGGGAAUUUUGGACAAUGGGCGCAAGCCUGGUACUACCGACGACAAGUCGCC
RNAcentral lists this ribosomal RNA (377 nucleotides) under uncultured bacterium. RNAcentral's name for it is "bacterial SSU rRNA". It matches the Rfam family "Bacterial small subunit ribosomal RNA", at positions 30 to 401 of the family's 1533-position model. The record is from RNAcentral.